GUAAUGAUUCUAAUCCAAAACAGGCCAAAAAACUCGCAAAAUUGUUGUCUGGUCAGGCAUCACGUCGAGCCCCAUACUGGACUCGACGAGUCCAAGGUAAACUUCAACCUACUCGUCAAGUACAAGAAUGGACUCGCCACGAAACUUAUGCGAAGGGUGAAGGAAUGCAUGAGCUUGUGCAUGGAAGUCUAAAUGCGGUAAGUGUGAACGGAAUCGCCACUCUCGCAAAGAAUGCACCCUAGAAGUAGAAUUGUGUCAUCAUUGUCAUCAGCUUGUCAUCAGCCUACUCAUGUCAUGGCAGAUUUCUAGCGUUUAGCGGUUGGGGUGGCUCAGGUUGAUUUGCGAGUGCUUCUACACGGAGGGGGAGCAGAACCCUAAGGCACUACGGGUAUGUAUCAUGUUCUUCUCUUUUACGCUUAAAUCAUUAUGCUAAUAAUUCCAUAACUUGAGGACAAGUUAUGGAUUUCACCAAAAUCAAUUAAUUCAAAAAUUCUGACUAAAAAGUCAAACAAUUUGCCUAUGAUCUAAUUUAAAUCAUAAGAUAAGAUAAUUCAUAUCAAACAAGUUUCUAGAAAUUAGCCUAACCAUAUAAACUAAUACAAUUCAUGAAACUUUGACAAUUAUCUUUUAUUUGGAUGAUAAUCAUCAUUACCAUAUCAAGAAAAUCAGAUUUUAUGAACUAAAAUAUUUUUUGGUAAUGAUUCUAAUCCAAAACAGGCCAAAAAACUCGCAAAAUUGUUGUCUGGUCAGGCAACAAGUCGAGCCCCAUACUGGACUCGACGAGUCCAAGGUAAACUUCAACCUACUCGUCAAGUACAAGAAUGGACUCGCCACGAAACUUAUGCGAAGGGUGAAGGAAUGCAUGAGCUUGUGCAUGGAAGUCUAAAUGCGGAAAGUGUGAACGGAAUCGCCACUCUCGCAAAGAAUGCACCCUAGAAGUAGAAUUGCGUCAUCAUUGUCAUUAGCUUGUCAUCAGCUUGCUCAUAUCAUGGCAGAUUUCUAGCGUUUAGUGGUUGGGGUGGCUCAGGUUGAAUUGCGAGUGCUUCUAUAAGGAGGGGGGUAGAACCCUAAGAUAGUACGGGUGUGUAUCAUAUUCUUUUCUUUUACGCUUAAAUCAUUAUGCUAAUAAUUCCAUAACUUGAGGACAAGUUAUGGAUUUCACCAAAAUCAAUUAGAUCAAAAAUUCUAACUAAAAAAUCAAACAAUUUGCCUAUGAUCUAAUUAAACUCAUAAGAUAAGAUAAUUCAUAUCAAACAAGUUUCAAGAAAUUAGCCUAACCAUAUAAACUAAUACAAAUCAUGAAACUUUGACAAUUAUCUUUUGUUUGGAUGAUAAUCAUCAUUACCAUAUCAACAAAAUCAGAUUUUAUGAACUAAAAUAUUUUUUGGUAAUGAUUCUAAUCCAAAACAGGCCAAAAAACUCGCAAAAUUGUUGUCUGGUCAGGCAUCACGUCGAGCCCCAUACUGGACUCGACGAGUCCAAGGUAAACUUCAACCUACUCGUCAAGUACAAGAAUGGACUCGCCACGAAACUUAUGCGAAGGGUGAAGGAAUGCAUCAGCUUGUGCAUGGAAGUCUAAAUGCGGUAAGUGUGAACGGAAUCGCCACUCUCGCAAAGAAUGCACCCUAGAAGUAGAAUUGUGUCAUCAUUGUCAUCAGCUUGUCAUCAGCCUACUCAUGUCAUGGCAGAUUUCUAGCGUUUAGCGGUUGGGGUGGCUCAGGUUGAUUUGCGAGUGCUUCUACAGGGAGGGGGAGCAGAACCCUACGACACUACAGGUAUGUAUCAUAUUCUUCUCUUUUUCGCUUAAAUCAUUAUGCUAAUAAUUCCAUAACUUGAGGACAAGUUAUGGAUUCCACCAAAAUCAAUUAGAUCAAAAAUUCUAACUAAAAAAUCAAACAAGUUGACUAUGAUCUAAUUAAACUCAUAAGACAAGAUAAUUCAUAUCAAACAAGUUUCAAGAAAUUAGCCUAACCAUAUAAACUAAUACAAAUCAUGAAACUUUGACAAUUAUCUUUUGUUUGGAUGAUAAUCAUCAUUACCAUAUCAACAAAAUCAGAUUUUAUGAACUAAAAUAUUUUUUGGUAAUGAUUCUAAUCCAAAACAGGCCAAAAACACGCAAAAUUGUUGUCUAGUCAGGCAACAAGUCGAGCCCCAUACUGGACUCGACGAGUCCAAGGUAAACUUCAACCUACUCAUCAAGUACCAGAAUGGACUCGCCACGAAACUUAUGCGAAGGGUGAAGGAAUGCAUGAGCUUGUGCAUGGAAGUCUAAAUGCGGUAAGUGUGAACGGAAUCGCCACUCUCGCAAAGAAUGCACCCUAGAAGUAGAAUUGUGUCAUCAUUGUCAUCAGCUUGUCAUCAGCUUGCUCAUAUCAUGGCAGAUUUCUAGCGUUUAGUGGUUGGGGUGGCUCAGGUUGAAUUGCGAGUGCUUAUAUAAGGAGGGGGGGUAGAACCCUAAGAUAGUACGGGUGUGUAUCAUAUUCUUCUCUUUUACGCUUAAAUCAUUAUGCUAAUAAUUCCAUAACUUGAGGACAAGUUAUGGAUUUCACCAAAAUCAAUUAAUUCAAAAAUUCUGACUAAAAAGUCAAACAAUUUGCCUAUGAUCUAAUUUAAAUCAUAAGAUAAGAUAAUCCAUAUCAAACAAGUUUCUAGAAAUUAGCCUAACCAUAUAAACUAAUACAAUUCAUGAAACUUUGACAAUUAUCUUUUGUUUGGAUGAUAAUCAUCAUUACCAUAUCAACAAAAUCAGAUUUUAUGAACUAAAAUAUUUUUUGGUAAUGAUUCUAAUCCAAAACAGGCCAAAAAACUCGAAAAAUUGUUGUCUGGUCAGGCAUCACAUCGAGCCCCAUACUGGACUCGACGAGUCCAAGGUAAACUUCAACCUACUCGUCAAGUACAAGAAUGGACUCGCCACGAAACUUAUGCGAAGGGUGAAGGAAUGCAUGAGCUUGAGCAUGGAAGUCU
This 2964-nucleotide long non-coding RNA is filed under the name Lactuca sativa (garden lettuce). Its description in RNAcentral is "long non-coding RNA (LSAT_LNC004969)". Lineage: Eukaryota; Viridiplantae; Streptophyta; Magnoliopsida; Asterales; Asteraceae. The record is from RNAcentral.